GACGAACGCUGGCGGCAUGCCUAAUACAUGCAAGUCGAGCGAACAGAUGAAGUGCUUGCACUUCUGACGUUAGCGGCGAACGGGUGAGUAACACGUAAGGAAUCUACCUAUAAGCGGGGGAUAACAUUCGGAAACGGGUGCUAAUACCGCAUAAUAUCUUCUUCCGCAUGGAAGAAGAUUGAAAGACGGCUCUGCUGUCACUUAUAGAUGACCUUGCGGUGCAUUAGUUAGUUGGUGGGGUAACGGCCUACCAAGACGAUGAUGCAUAGCCGACCUGGGAGGGUGUUCGGCCACAUUGGGACUGAGACACGGCCCAAACUCCUACGGGAGGCAGCAGUAGGGAAUCUUCCGCAAUGGGCGAAAGCCUGACGGAGCAAUGCCGCGUGAGUGAAGAAGGCCUUCGGGUCGUAAAACUCUGUUAUAAGAGAAGAACAAAUUGUAGAGUAACUGCUACAGUCUUGACGGUAUCUUAUCAGAAAGCCACGGCUAACUACGUGCCAGCCGCCGCAGUAA
RNAcentral lists this ribosomal RNA (513 nucleotides) under uncultured bacterium. RNAcentral describes it as "partial 16S ribosomal RNA". It matches the Rfam family "Bacterial small subunit ribosomal RNA", at positions 28 to 523 of the family's 1533-position model. The record is from RNAcentral.